This 1194-nucleotide long non-coding RNA is filed under the name Sorghum bicolor (sorghum). RNAcentral describes it as "long non-coding RNA (SBIC_LNC005594)". Lineage: Eukaryota; Viridiplantae; Streptophyta; Magnoliopsida; Poales; Poaceae. The record is from RNAcentral.
ACUCGUCCCUAUAGCCUGCUUCCAUACUUGGCGCUGCAACACAAUAUACAUGAUAAUGCAACAACACAUGACAUACUGCUACAACAAACAAGUUGAAGUAGCUGAAACAUCAUAAAACAUAGUAUUGCAACAAAUAACGAACAACUACUGCAACAGCAUGCAAACUACUACUACAACAUACAAAUUGAAGUAUUGGAUAGAACAACUGAAACACCAUGAACAUAGUAUUACAACAACAACGAACGGCUGUUGCAACAACAUGUAACAACUAAUACAACAGCAUAGGUUGAAGCAUUGGAUGGAGUAACCGAAACACCAUGGACAUAGUAUUACAACAACAUCGAACAACUGUUGCAACAACAUGCAACAACUAAUACAACAGUGCAAAUUGAAGCAUUGGAUGGAGCAACUGAAACACCAUGGACAUAGUACUACAACAACACCAAACAACUGUUGUAACAACAUGAAACAAACUACUACAACAUGCAGAAUGAAGCAACUGAAACAACAUCUCAAAAACACAAUACUGCAACAACGACUGAAACCUACUGCAAUGUCUAGAGAGAACCAUUGCAACAAUGACAAAUCUGAAGCCGAGAGCUCGCCGAAACCCUAUCCUACUGCAACAUCACUUGAAAAACAUUACUGCAAACAACCAAAGAACAUCAUUACAACACGCGAGAGCACUGAAUCCCAAGAGCUCGCUGGAACCCUAGCCAACACAACAUCUCAUAGAUCUAGAUCCAGAGGAAGAGGAGGAAGAGGAGGAGCAGAGGAGGGCCUAGAUCCAGAUCCACAAAGAGGAGGGAGGGAAAAGGGAGAGGGAGGCCUUAGAUCCAAAUCCCUCACCACCUACCUCGUCGGAGCCGCGCCGUUGUCUCCAUCUCCAGAUGCAUGGAGGUCAUAAGAGCGAGGGAGAAAGAGCAGGGAGAAAGGGAGUUGCGCCGUUCACUGGAAGUUACCACCGUCGCGCUCUACUCCGGUGGCUUCGAGGGCGCGUGGGUCGCAGCGGGGAAGGAGGUCGCAGCGGGGAGAGAGGUCGCAGCGGGGAGGGAGGGAGAAAAGGAGGGAGGAGCGGCAGGAAGUGCGGACGCAUGGUGGAAGCGACGGGGAGCGGCAGCGAGACGAGAGAAAAGAGUGGGGAGGAAAAGGAUGAGUGGAUAAGAAGGCAUGAAGGAGCAGCGAAAUGAGUGG